AGACGUCUACAUUAGAUACCCCCUGUAGUCCCAGCCGUAAACGAUGCGCGUUAGGUGUAUCGACGACCACGAGUCGUCGAGGUGCCGAAGGGAAACCGUGAAACGUGCCGCCUGGGAAGUACGGUCGCAAGGCUGAAACUUAAAGGAAUUGGCGGGGAGCACCACAACGGGUGGAGCCUGCGGUUUAAUUGGACUCAACGCCGGGAAGCUCACCGGAUAAGACAGCGGAAUGAUUGCCGGGCUGAAGACUCUGCAUGACUAGCUG
Molecule: ribosomal RNA, 265 nt
Filed under: uncultured archaeon
Lineage: Archaea
Description: partial 16S ribosomal RNA
Rfam family: Archaeal small subunit ribosomal RNA
Source: RNAcentral